This 376-nucleotide ribosomal RNA is filed under the name Cubophis caymanus. RNAcentral's name for it is "partial 16S ribosomal RNA". It matches the Rfam family "Bacterial large subunit ribosomal RNA", at positions 1970 to 2557 of the family's 2925-position model. Lineage: Eukaryota; Metazoa; Chordata; Lepidosauria; Squamata; Dipsadidae. The record is from RNAcentral.
UGUCUAUUAAUUGUAGACCUGUAUGAAAGGCAAAAUGAGGGUUUAACUGUCUCUUAUAAUAAAUCAAUUAAACUGAUCUCCCAGUAAAAAAGCUGGCAUACUCACAUAAGACCAGAAGACCCUGUGAAGCUUAAACUAAACUACUAAACCCUAUAGUAAUUACUUUCGGUUGGGGCGACCUUGGAAAUAAAAAGAACUUCCAAAUACAAUGAUUAUAACUCAUACACACCCGGCCAACAAGCCUAUAAAUUAGACCCAGCAUAGCUGAUAACUGAACCAAGUUACUCCAGGGAUAACAGCGCUAUCUUCUUCAAGAGCCCAUAUCAAAAAGAAGGUUUACGACCUCGAUGUUGGAUCAGGACAUCCUAAUGGUGCA